CACGCACCAGAAGAGGCAGCCA
Molecule: non-coding RNA, 22 nt
Filed under: Arabidopsis thaliana (thale cress)
Lineage: Eukaryota; Viridiplantae; Streptophyta; Magnoliopsida; Brassicales; Brassicaceae
Source: RNAcentral